UCCGUAGGUGAACCUGCGGAAGGAUCAUUAUUUAAACAAAGAGUGCACUUUAUUGUGGCUCAAAUAUUUUAUAAUUUUAACCCCAAAACACUUGUUUGUGUGACAUUCAUGUCAUUGCAUUCAGGUAAAAGUAACAUUUAAUUUGUUACAUUAUCCCCCCCUCAAUUUUUUUAUGACUUAUAUUUUAAUAAACACAUGUUUUCAGGAAGAAUGUAAAUUGAUUAUUUUAAAAAGAAAUAACUUUUAACAAUGGAUCUCUAGGCUCUCAUAUCGAUGAAGAACACAGUGAAAUGUGAUAAGUAAUGUGAAUUGCAGAAUUCAGUGAAUCAUUGAAUCUUUGAACGCACCUUGCACCUUUUGGAUAUUCCAAAAGGUACACCUGUUUGAGUGUCAUGAAAGUCUCUCAUCAAAUUUAUUUUUGGUGGAUAUUGAGUGUUGCUGCUAUCUAGCUCACUUUAAAUAUAUAAGUUGCUUCAUCAAUGUGCUGGAUUGACUUGGUGUAAUAUUAAUGUUUUUCAUCAAGGAAAGUAGUGAUACUUGCCAGCAAAUUUGUAUCUAGUACUUCUAAAUUGAACAUAGUUCAUUUAUUAAUUUUUAAGACCUCAAAUCAGGUGGGACUACCUGCUGAACUUAAGCAUAUCAAUAAGCGGAGGA
RNAcentral lists this ribosomal RNA (654 nucleotides) under Stachys setifera subsp. setifera. Its description in RNAcentral is "eukaryotic LSU rRNA". The stretch from base 239 to 393 matches the Rfam family "5.8S ribosomal RNA". The record is from RNAcentral. Lineage: Eukaryota; Viridiplantae; Streptophyta; Magnoliopsida; Lamiales; Lamiaceae.